AUGGGAACGCGAAGAACCUUACCUACUCUUGACAUCCAGAGAACUUAGCAGAGAUGCUUUGGUGCCUUCGGGAACUCUGAGACAGGUGCUGCAUGGCUGUCGUCAGCUCGUGUUGUGAAAUGUUGGGUUAAGUCCCGCAACGAGCGCAACCCUUAUCCUUUGUUGCCAGCGGUCCGGCCGGGAACUCAAAGGAGACUGCCAGUGAUAAACUGGAGGAAGGUGGGGAUGACGUCAAGUCAUCAUGGCCCUUACGACCAGGGCUACACACGUGCUACAAUGGCAUAUACAAAGAGAAGCGACCUCGCGAGAGCAAGCGGACCUCAUAAAGUGCGUCGUAGUCCGGAUUGGAGUCUGAC
Molecule: ribosomal RNA, 356 nt
Filed under: uncultured bacterium
Lineage: Bacteria
Description: bacterial SSU rRNA
Rfam family: Bacterial small subunit ribosomal RNA
Source: RNAcentral